GAACGCACCUUGCGCCUUUUGGUAUUCCGAAAGGCACACCUGUUUGAGCGUCAUGAAUACCUCAAUCUCCAUCUUUUCUUCGGAUUGAUGGGUGACUUGGAUGUUGAGCCCUGCUGGUAUGCUAUAUCAGCUGGCUUUAAACUUAUUAGCCGGCUCUGUACUGGAUCGGUUUGACUCGACGUGAUAAUAUUAUCGUUGAGGAUACAUGUCUCAUGCAGCCGGAAAGUAUCAAAGCAGCUUCUAGCUUGCCUUUAGUGCACUUUUACAUUUUAGACCUCAGAUCAGGUGGGACUACCCGCUGAACUUAAG
This 309-nucleotide unclassified non-coding RNA is filed under the name uncultured Helicobasidiaceae. RNAcentral's name for it is "sequence contains 5.8S rRNA gene". The stretch from base 1 to 53 matches the Rfam family "5.8S ribosomal RNA", at positions 102 to 154 of the family's 154-position model. The record is from RNAcentral. Lineage: Eukaryota; Fungi; Basidiomycota; Pucciniomycetes; Helicobasidiales; Helicobasidiaceae.